GAUGAACGCUGGCGGCGUGCCUAAUGCAUGCAAGUCGAGCGCACAGACGAGGAUCUUGCUCCUCUGACGUUAGCGGCGGACGGGUGAGUAACACGUGGAUAACCUACCUACAUGACUGGGAUAACUUCGGGAAACCGGAGCUAAUACCGGAUAAUAUAUUGAACCGCAUGGUUCAAUAGUGAAAGACGGUUUUGCUGUCACUUAUAGAUGGUUCCGCCCCGCAUUAGCUAGUUGGUAAGGUAACGGCUUACGAAGAAUACGAUGCGUAGCCGACCGGAGAGGGUGGUCAACAGAACUGGAACUAGUCGACAGUCCGCACUACUACGGAGUGUCACAAUAAGGAAUCGUACGCCAAAGGCUAAAGCGAGACGAAGCAACGCAACGAGAGUGAUGAACAUCUUCAGUUCGUAAAACAGUGUUAGUAGGGAUAAACAAAUGUGUAAAUAGCUAUGCACAACUUGACGGUACCUAAUCAGAAUGCCCCGGCUAACUACGUG
RNAcentral lists this ribosomal RNA (497 nucleotides) under uncultured bacterium. RNAcentral describes it as "partial 16S ribosomal RNA". It matches the Rfam family "Bacterial small subunit ribosomal RNA", at positions 28 to 507 of the family's 1533-position model. The record is from RNAcentral.